GUCCACUUGAUUGACUCAUUGGAGCUUGGGAAGUACCUCCCAUUACUAUUCCCUAUUAUCGGUUUAACAGAAAUCUAUUAAGGUGGAAUAAAUCGCUCAAUAUAAUUUAUAUCCUAUCUGGACAACAAACAAACAAAAGGACACCAGCAGCACAAACGGGAAAGGACGAAACGAAACUCCAGGGAACCUGGGACCUGAGACCAGGACCAACGAUGCUCAAUCGCACACAGCAAUCAGCCCAAAAAGGCGAGCGAUUUUUUUUGUAAUUUUUAUGACCCCAAAAGACGCAUCAAUUCCGAAGGGCAGAUCUCCGAACAAAGGACCCCAAUACACACCCAAUAAGAGAGGGCGGCCAAAGCAAACUUAUUUAAAGAUAGCUCACCCAAGCGUCCAAGCGUCCUCGACAUUCGUAAGCCUCCAGAGCGAGGGAAAGUGGGUCCUCGUCUCCGACUAUAAACUGUUCCAAGUUAUCUAAAGUGUUAAAUCACCUGAUGCCGUCAGCAUGAAAUUUACGCACAUAAAUCUUUCGGGACCAGCCCAAGUCCGAAACUGAGAAUGGGCCGCAAAAAAAACAUAAACCAAACAUAAGCAGGCCCCUUAAACCAACGAAAAACACGGCACGAACAACAACUCAAAAAGCUAGAAAAGCGAGAGUGGAUCGGUGGGUUCUAAAAAAAGGAGAUAAGUAUGGCAAAUAAACCUAUGAUU
This is a long non-coding RNA of Drosophila teissieri, 708 nucleotides long. RefSeq lists it as uncharacterized. NCBI's taxonomy places the organism in Eukaryota, Metazoa, Arthropoda, Insecta, Diptera, Drosophilidae. The record is from RefSeq and is a predicted model, not a curated record. The transcript is spliced from 3 exons.